Non-coding RNA from Gymnothorax javanicus (giant moray), 74 nucleotides. The record is from the annotation of a GenBank genome assembly. NCBI's taxonomy places the organism in Eukaryota, Metazoa, Chordata, Actinopteri, Anguilliformes, Muraenidae.
GAUGCAGUAGUGCAGUGGUUAAGCGUGUUUGACUUGGGAUCAAAAGGUACUUAGUUCGAGUGCUGGCCACGGCC